GCGAAAGUGGCGGAACUGGCAGACGCGCAGGAUUCAGGAUCCUGUGGAGUAACAUCCGUGGGGGUUAAAGUCCCCCCUUUCGCA
RNAcentral lists this transfer RNA (84 nucleotides) under Candidatus Aminicenantota bacterium. Its description in RNAcentral is "Candidatus Aminicenantes bacterium tRNA-Leu". It matches the Rfam family "tRNA". From Rfam's summary of the family: Transfer RNA (tRNA) molecules are approximately 80 nucleotides in length. Lineage: Bacteria; Candidatus Aminicenantota. The record is from RNAcentral.